AACGCAUAUUGCGCCCUCUGGUAUUCCGGGGGGCAUGCCUGUUCGAGCGUUUUUAAAUAAAAAUCAAGUUAAUAAACUUGGUAUUGGGCUUUUUUACAUUCAUUAUCCUUUGGAUGGGCCUAAAAAUUAGUGACGAUCCCCUUUCUUAGGUUUUCAAGCGUAGUAAAAAAAUUUUUUUUUCUCGUUUAAAAAAAAAAAAGUUGGGAAUGUCAAAAAUUUUUUUUAAAAAUUAGACCUCGGAUCAGGUAGGAAUACCCGCUGAACUUAA
This 268-nucleotide unclassified non-coding RNA is filed under the name uncultured fungus. RNAcentral's name for it is "sequence contains ITS2". The record is from RNAcentral. Lineage: Eukaryota; Fungi.